This 127-nucleotide small RNA is filed under the name Marmota monax (woodchuck). The record is from RNAcentral. Lineage: Eukaryota; Metazoa; Chordata; Mammalia; Rodentia; Sciuridae.
GCCAGACACAGUGGUGCAUACCUGUAAUCCCAGCAACUUGGGAGGCUGAGGCAGGAGGAUUACAAGUUCAAGGCUAGCCUCAGCAAUUUAGUGAGACCCUAAGCAACUUAGUGAGACCCUGUCUCAA